Molecule: ribosomal RNA, 495 nt
Filed under: uncultured Streptococcus sp.
Lineage: Bacteria; Bacillati; Bacillota; Bacilli; Lactobacillales; Streptococcaceae
Description: bacterial SSU rRNA
Rfam family: Bacterial small subunit ribosomal RNA
Source: RNAcentral
UGAACGCUGGCGGCGUGCCUAAUACAUGCAAGUAGAACGCUGAAGGAAGGAGCUUGCUCUUUCCGGAUGAGUUGCGAACGGGUGAGUAACGCGUAGGUAACCUGCCUCUUAGCGGGGGAUAACUAUUGGAAACGAUAGCUAAUACCGCAUAAAAGUCGACAUUGCAUGAUGUUGAUUUGAAAGGUGCAACUGCAUCACUAAGAGAUGGACCUGCGUUGUAUUAGCUAGUUGGUGAGGUAACGGCUCACCAAGGCGACGAUACAUAGCCGACCUGAGAGGGUGAUCGGCCACACUGGGACUGAGACACGGCCCAGACUCCUACGGGAGGCAGCAGUAGGGAAUCUUCGGCAAUGGACGGAAGUCUGACCGAGCAACGCCGCGUGAGUGAAGAAGGUUUUCGGAUCGUAAAGCUCUGUUGUAAGAGAAGAACGAGUGUGAGAGUGGAAAGUUCACGCUGUGACGGUAUCUUACCAGAAAGGGACGGCUAACUACGUG